Molecule: small RNA, 64 nt
Filed under: Xanthomonas fragariae
Lineage: Bacteria; Pseudomonadati; Pseudomonadota; Gammaproteobacteria; Lysobacterales; Lysobacteraceae
Description: sX9 sRNA
Rfam family: Xanthomonas sRNA sX9
Source: RNAcentral
AUGUACCACGCGUAUACCGCGGUUUCUCAGCGCCGUCCGCACUGCUCGCUACAUGUUGUUAGCC